CAUUGCCCGCAGACCCUUU
RNAcentral lists this unclassified non-coding RNA (19 nucleotides) under Mus musculus (house mouse). Its description in RNAcentral is "oocyte_clustered_small_RNA13596". The record is from RNAcentral. Lineage: Eukaryota; Metazoa; Chordata; Mammalia; Rodentia; Muridae.